ACUCAAAGGAAUAGACGGGGACCCGCACAAGCGGUGGAGCAUGUGGUUUAAUUCGAAGCAACGCGAAGAACCUUACCAGGGUUUGACAUACGAGUGCAACAUUUAGAGAUAAAUGGUUCCUUCGGGACACUCGAUACAGGUGGUGCAUGGUUGUCGUCAGCUCGUGUCGUGAGAUGUUGGGUUAAGUCCCGCAACGAGCGCAACCCUUAUCGCUAGUUACUAACAUUAAGUUGAGGACUUUAGCGAGACUGCCAGUGAUAAACUGGAGGAAGGCGGGGAUGAGGUCAAAUCAUCAUGCCCCUUAUACCCUGGGCUACACACGUGCUACAAUGGUGCAUACAAAGAGAAGCGAAACGGUGACGUCAAGCAAACCUCAUAAAGUGCAUCUCAGUUCGGAUUGUAGUCUGCAACUCGACUACAUGAAGAUGGAAUCGCUAGUAAUCGCGGAUCAGAAUGCCGCGGUGAAUACGUUCCCGGGUCUUGUACACACCGCCCGU
RNAcentral lists this ribosomal RNA (497 nucleotides) under uncultured bacterium. RNAcentral describes it as "bacterial SSU rRNA". It matches the Rfam family "Bacterial small subunit ribosomal RNA", at positions 899 to 1397 of the family's 1533-position model. The record is from RNAcentral.